CCACGCAGUAAACGAUGAUUACUAGGAGUUUGCGAUAUACCGUCAAGCUUCCACAGCGAAAGCGUUAAGUAAUCCACCUGGGGAGUACGCCGGCAACGGUGAAACUCAAAGGAAUUGACGGGGGCCCGCACAAGCGGAGGAACAUGUGGUUUAAUUCGAUGAUACGCGAGGAACCUUACCCGGGAUUGAAAUGUAGAUGACGGAUGGUGAAAACCGUCUUCCCUUCGGGGCGUCUAUGUAGGUGCUGCAUGGUUGUCGUCAGCUCGUGCCGUGAGGUGUCGGCUUAAGUGCCAUAACGAGCGCAACCCACAUCGGUAU
RNAcentral lists this ribosomal RNA (318 nucleotides) under Porphyromonas gingivalis. RNAcentral's name for it is "bacterial SSU rRNA". It matches the Rfam family "Bacterial small subunit ribosomal RNA", at positions 795 to 1114 of the family's 1533-position model. Lineage: Bacteria; Pseudomonadati; Bacteroidota; Bacteroidia; Bacteroidales; Porphyromonadaceae. The record is from RNAcentral.